AUGCCAUGUUGGCUCAGUGUGGGCCCUUGCAUCUUCCGAGAAGGAGGAAGAGAAGAUCCAAAGCUCCCUUGUGCAGCCAUAUGGACGAGAAGGAUGUGUAGAAGGGUCCCUGACAGAAAGGAAGAGGCUCCCCCUGCGUCACAGAAAUGUCUCAGGGCAGACUAUACAAGAGGGGCUUUAGGAACCAUAGGGGUCCCUCAACGGGAAAGACAAAAGACAGUGACCAGAAAUGAUUGGGGAGAGAGAAGGAAUGUGAUCUGGACUCAAUCCUGCAUGACCAUCACGUCAGGAGCACGUUUGCUAACCGCUGUGAUACACAUAAGCUUUUAUGGUUAAGAUCUAGUUUCAUCAACCCCCACCUUUGGUUGUCUUUGUUCGUGUCUUCCUGCUUGCUUCUGAAUUUCAGAGGUCUCAUCUGAUGGAAAAUCAGGCUGUAGGUUUAUUGACUGACACGAGACAGCUAGAUCAGCAGCAGAUAACUGAGGGUCAGAUUGAGAAGUCAAACCCAAACAGUCAAACCCAAUCCUCUUUAAGGCCUGGAGGAGGAGGAUAAUGUCUUAUUAGGGAUUUACUUUAAGAUACACAAGUAAUUACACUACUGACGGAAACAACAAACACAGAUAAUACAAGCACACAGAAUGAAAAACAACAGCUGAUAUGUUUUCUCUCAGGUGGGCCACCAUAGUGGUACUCUAACUGACAAAGAUGUUCAAUGACAAAGUGUGAAAGUAACACUGCAAGACAUUAAAUCACUAGAAAAAAAAUAUAAAAAUAAAAAUAAGGUAAAUCCAAAGUAUUUUGAAAGUUUAAGUCAAAUAAAUAAAUUUUAAUUUAAUUAAAAUUGAAUAUAGUAAAUUAAGCAAAUAAAUUAUGCACACAUGCAUACAUUUGUAAACUUAAUGGACAAAAAACUAAUUGAAUUAAAUUGAAAUUAAUUAAAUUUGAAGGGUUAAAAAGUAAAAAAAAAGAAAAAGUAAAAGAAAAAUGUAAAAAAAAAAAAUAACACUAAUGCCAUGGUCCACCAUUAGGUCUAAGAGUGUGUUCACACUUGUCAUGUUUGGUUCGAUUUAAACUAACUCUGGUGCGAUUGCUCUGUUAGUGUGGCUCAGUUGAGUAAGUGUGAACGCUGUCAUCCGAACCCUGGUUAAAACCAAAUAAGCGGACCAAGACUUGAAUAACGUAUAUAUUGUGACGGAAUUUACAUAAAACCCCAAACAAAAGGUGCGUUAGACUUAAAGCUUUUAGUCGAACACACCUAAUGCCAUCUGCUGAACUAAGCGUGCUCAUUCCUGGGUGUCCAUAUUUUAUUUUCACCACCUGCAAACUCACAAGGAGCUCAUAAAACACGUUUGCCCUCUGAUCAUUUUGUUUUGGUUACACCGUGUCGUCAAAUCAUGUCGCAUAUCAUUGCAUUUUGUCAUUACUUCCUUUUUUUGGUUCAUUUAGAAGUUAUUGGUCCGUGUUGCGUUCAUAUUUCAUUCAAACUGCACCAGAGUUCAUUUGGAAGUGAACUGAGACCCAUCUUUUUAGCGGUCUCUGUCCGCUUGUUUGGUGUGCACCAGAGUUCGGAUGGCAGCGUUCACACUUCACACACGAUUCGCACUAACAGAGCAAUUGCAAUGGGGUUCAUUUUAACCGGACCAAACAUGACAAGUGUGGACCAUCAUGUAUCAUUUUCCUUUUUGGUCUGGACAAAAUUAACCAAAAGAACUGAACUACAAGUGUGAACACACCCUAAAUAACAAUUAAAUUUUACAACUGAAAUUACAAUUGAAUUAAAAAAGUGAAUAUAUAUAUAUAUUCACACACAUUAUUCAUGUAUUUAUAUAAUUGCACUUUCUCUAUACACAAACACACACACACACACACAUAAAUAAUUAAUUAAUUUCAUUAAACAUUAAAAAUCUAUAUUACUCCAAUGUUCUAAAAAACAAAAAAAUAAAGGUCACAUUCUCAUGGUGAAAAUUCAGAUUUACUCCACUUAGCACAAGAAAAUCCAUUAUCAGCCAAGUCUUUUUUAACCCAUGCUAUUUGAUUACAAAAAAGCUACAGAAGAAUGAAGUUGGCAGAAACCACUCUAUGCUCAGUCUAAUUAGUUUUUUUGGCAGCUAGGUAGAUUUUCAAAAGUGGAAAAGAACAAAAAUGUCACGCAUUCAUCUUUUUAUUAUUAUUAUUUUGGGCAGACAAACUUUGGGAUUCCAAGCUUAUUCUAACAAGUCUGAAAGGCUAUAAACACUGUCCUUCUCUCUUGAUAAACUGUUAUUGUUGAUCCAGUAAUUAAAAGUAAAUCGACUCUUGAGGCCUGCUUCCAGCUCUUAUUCCGGACACUUCCCUGGGAUGCACGAGUAUGUGAUUCUGUCGACUGCUGUGUUUAUGUUGGGGAGCGUAAAGCUGGCAUCGGGGCAAAAUGCUCCAGGACAUCAUCCGCGCCAGCAAAUCUGCCCCGGAUUCCCAGACCCCGUCCAAAUCACCCACCCUCCCCCUUUUAUCAAAAUAGGUCACUUCCAAGUGAAGCCAGUUGGCAAAGAAAAGAAAACAGACUUUCUAAACUAAAAUAAACAACAAAUAUAAGGGGAAAAGGAGGUAUGAAGAAGAUCAGAUUCCAAAUUGUCUCUUUUAUUCGCGACUUUGUUGUCUAAACCCCUUAAAUGCUGAAAUUCCGAGGAUGUGAUCUGCAGCGGAAGGAGCAUUGCUGAUGGGGAGCGAGAGCAGCAUUGUCUUUAGGCAGGGUGUUAGAAAAGAAAGCCCAACAUAGCCUACAUACAGCCAGCCCACAGUGAGUGCAUGUAAUCCACCCAAGACAUAAGCUGGAGGGAGGGAUGUAAUUGAAGCUGGCUUGACAGGAGCAAGGAAUCACAAGAUUGGAGAUUUGGAAAGGAUGGGGCGGGGGGGGUUGGGACCCGUCUGCGGAUGGGUGUGUAUGUGCGUGUUCUGUGGUCACAAGAAACAGCAGAUGGUUCAUUUCCUGUGUUGAUACGGGGGUCAAGAUAGACAAAGCUGAUGAUGACUCUUUGGGCUAGAAUACGGAAGAUCGUGAGGCCAGACGCUAAAACGAAAUACCUCCACAUACUCACGGACAUUUCCACACGUAGGGAGAUAUCUUAUCUUUAAGCUGUAGGGAAAAGAAAUGGAAAUGAUAGAGAUUCUGAAGUAUCUUGGUUGCAUGUCUCUGGGGAAAAACUGGUAAAUUCAGGAAAUGCUGGUACAAAACACAAACCCAAUUUGAUUUGUCUUGUUCUCUAGUGAAAAUGUCAACAUGCUGAAACAAGAUAAAUUUACUUGAAAAGGAAAUUACAUUUUUCUAAGAUGUCUUACAAAUUUUUGUGUGGUUUGUGUGUGACUUGAUUUCCCUUUGAAUAAAAAUUGUUUUUCUGGCAAAUCA
Molecule: long non-coding RNA, 3382 nt
Organism: Cyprinus carpio carpio
Lineage: Eukaryota; Metazoa; Chordata; Actinopteri; Cypriniformes; Cyprinidae
Source: Ensembl